CCAAAAUCAGCCCGAGGAGUGGGAGAUACAAAAGACUCCACUGCAACACCUCCAACCAGAGACACCAGCGACCUGCUUCACCCUAGCAACAGCAACCACCAGUAAGAAUCUGAUGGGAUGGAGACUAUAGCACCCAGUCCCUCUCCCCAGACUUAGAUUAUACUAUCUCAACUUCCCCUGCA
RNAcentral lists this long non-coding RNA (182 nucleotides) under Fukomys damarensis (Damara mole-rat). RNAcentral describes it as "lncRNA (ENSFDAG00000033099.1)". The record is from RNAcentral. Lineage: Eukaryota; Metazoa; Chordata; Mammalia; Rodentia; Bathyergidae.